CAGUCGCCGCGGUAAUACGUAGGGUGCGAGCGUUAAUCGGAAUUACUGGGCGUAAAGCGUGCGCAGGCGGUUUGUUAAGUCAGAUGUGAAAUCCCCGAGCUUAACUUGAGAACUGCAUUUGAAACUGGCAAGCUAGAGUCUUGUAGAGGGGGGUAGAAUUCCAGGUGUAGCGGUGAAAUGCGUAGAGAUCUGGAGGAAUACCGGUGGCGAAGGCGGCCCCCUGGACAAAGACUGACGCUCAGGUGCGAAAGCGUGGGGAGCAAACAGGAUUAGAGACCCGUGUAGUCCCUGUCUCUUAUAC
RNAcentral lists this ribosomal RNA (301 nucleotides) under uncultured bacterium. RNAcentral's name for it is "partial 16S ribosomal RNA". It matches the Rfam family "Bacterial small subunit ribosomal RNA", at positions 509 to 807 of the family's 1533-position model. The record is from RNAcentral.